GUCUAUGAAUCAAAGCAGUGGUUUUCAAACUGCGAGUUGCAACCUGGUACUGGGUCACGACAGCUCUUGUCAGCACAGCCAACUGGGCCAUUAAAAGUCCCAUUGGCGGUGCUGCCCGGGUAAGGCAGGCUAGUCCAUACCUGUUCUGAAGCUGUGGCCAGCAGCAAGUCCAGCUCCUAGGUGGGAGGGAGACACGGGGCUCUGUGCGCUACCCCCACCCCAAG
This is a long non-coding RNA of Dermochelys coriacea (leatherback sea turtle), 224 nucleotides long. RefSeq lists it as uncharacterized. The record is from RefSeq and is a predicted model, not a curated record. The transcript has 3 exons. Lineage: Eukaryota; Metazoa; Chordata; Testudines; Dermochelyidae.